Non-coding RNA from Hydra vulgaris (swiftwater hydra), 96 nucleotides. Lineage: Eukaryota; Metazoa; Cnidaria; Hydrozoa; Anthoathecata; Hydridae. The record is from RefSeq and is a predicted model, not a curated record.
AAAGUUAAGAGUAGCACUGCAAGCAGUUUAAAUGAAUUAGGUCGACAAGAUAUUAUUAAGUUUGGAUCAAAAUACAGAUCUAGCCCAGACACUGUU